UAUUUAUGAAAUAUUAUUUUAAAUUUUUAAAAGUAGAUUUCAUUUAUUGUACCUUUUGUAUCAGGGUUUAUCAAAAUUUUAGUAUUUAUUUUACUUGUCUCGAUUUGGGUUGAUUUAUAAAUAAUUUAUAGUUAAUUUAUCAUAAUUAUUAUUAAAUUAUUUAUAGAAAUGAGAUGUUAAUCGUUUCCCAAGAUAUGAAGUUUCUUAAGAAAAAAUUUAAUUUUUGAAGUUAAUUGUUUUUAUUUAAUUUUUUAAGUAUAAAUAUUAACUUAUUUAUUCUUUAAGGGAUAAGCUUUGAAGUUAAUAACCUAUAAUUUGUUUUAUAGAAUAUAAUAGUAAGCUUUAAACCAGCUAUCUUUAAGAUUACGUUUUAGUUCAUUAUUUUUUAUUUUGAUUUUAUAAUUAUUUUAGGUUUUUUAUUAUUAUUAUUUAUUUAAUUUUAAAAUUUUUGUAAUAAUGAUAGAAUUAGUAUAUUUAUUUGUAUACAAUUUUUACCUUGUGAAUUUAUUAUAAGGAACUAGGCAAAAUUGAUUUCCGCCUGUUUAUCAAAAACAUGUCCUCUUGAAAAUACUUUGAGGUCUGGCCUGCUCACUGAGCAGAUUUUUAAAGAGCCGCGGUAUUUUGACCGUGCAAAGGUAGCAUAAUCAUUAGUCUCUUAAUUAGUGGCUGGAAUGAAUGGCUUGACGAGAAAUCAACUGUCU
Long non-coding RNA from Schistocerca cancellata (South American locust), 701 nucleotides. RefSeq lists it as uncharacterized. The record is from RefSeq and is a predicted model, not a curated record. Lineage: Eukaryota; Metazoa; Arthropoda; Insecta; Orthoptera; Acrididae. The transcript has 2 exons.